Molecule: long non-coding RNA, 986 nt
Organism: Gallus gallus (chicken)
Lineage: Eukaryota; Metazoa; Chordata; Aves; Galliformes; Phasianidae
Exons: 3
Source: RefSeq, a predicted model, not a curated record
GGCUUCGGAACCGCUCUGUGCAGCUCAUCCGCCGCUCUCUAUUGUGAUUAGUCCUCCAGGUCACAGCGAGCAUGCGCCCGACGACUCCAAACCAGCAACUGUUGCUCCUAACUGCUCCACGUGCGGGCGAGCAGUCGAUUCUCGGACCCCCGUCUCAGCCAACUUCUCCUUCUAAACCAGGCUGCCCCUCAUCUCUUCCCGCCGUUCGAUGCCAUAGCCCAUCCCGGGAGCGGACCGGUUCGGCUCACAGCUGCCCCCGAGCGCCCGGCGCCAUCCAAAUUGCUCUCCGCCGCGGCGGACCAGCAGACGUCCCCUUCCCCCCCCAGCCCCGCGCCGUCCCCCGGCCGUUUCAAAGCGCUCUCAGCAGCAGCGGAACCCGAGCGGCUCGGAGAUGGGCGGUCGCGGUACGGGCGUGAAGCGGCCCCGGCACCGCAGCAUCCCAGGACCCGCCGGGCUCGGCACCGCGCUGCGCAUGCAGCACCGCGCACACAGCGUUUUGCAUGCGCGUUUUCGGCAGAAAGACCUCAGCUGGAGCCUGGGACUGCAACACGGAGGGUGCUCAAGAAACAAAAGAAGGGAGUUAUUCUUCACUGAGUGAGGGCUACAACAGCACAGACUCUGAGAAUGAAUCCAACGCAUCCCAGAGGAGGAAGGAGUUAUCACCAGGCCAGGCUGUGUCCCCAGUGCAGGCUGUAUUGCGGCUGCUCGGAGGAGAUGUCACCUCGCCAGGACCCGAGCUGAUUAUCUUCCCUUGGAUGCUUCAAAUGAUGGUCAGCUUUCUUGGAGAAGAGAAGGCGGUGAUUCAGAGGAUGAGGACGAGCCUGAUAGGAAUCGUCUCCAUUUUGUUCCUAAAAAGAGAACUCUUAGGCGUAGGAUGGCUGAACGCGUGGGUGAGUUGGUGCCUUUUCUCCCAGAGAGAGGCUGUGUCUUUUACUGAUGGAUGUCCGGAAGAAUGUGAGACUUGCCCAGUGAAGAGUGCAGUACAA